GAUGAAGAACGUAGCGAAAUGCGAUAAGUAAUGUGAAUUGCAGAAUUCAGUGAAUCAUCGAAUCUUUGAACGCUCAUUGCGUCCCUUGGUAUUCCGAGGGGCAUGCCUGUUCGAGCGUCAUUAUAACCCCUCAAGCUCAGCUUGGUGUUGGGGCCUGCUGCACUGGCAGCCCUUAAAAUCAGUGGCGGCGCCAUCUGGCUCUAAGCGUAGUAAUUCUUCUCGCUAUGGAGUCCUGGUGGAUGCUUGCCAUCAACCCCCAAUUUUUCUAUGGUUGACCUCGGAUCAGGUAGGGAUACCCGCUGAACUUAAGCAUAUCAAUAAGCGGAGGA
This 329-nucleotide unclassified non-coding RNA is filed under the name soil metagenome. RNAcentral describes it as "partial contains 5.8S ribosomal RNA, internal transcribed spacer 2, and large subunit ribosomal RNA". The stretch from base 1 to 120 matches the Rfam family "5.8S ribosomal RNA", at positions 35 to 154 of the family's 154-position model. The record is from RNAcentral.